This 870-nucleotide ribosomal RNA is filed under the name Pseudomonas sp. RNAcentral describes it as "bacterial SSU rRNA". It matches the Rfam family "Bacterial small subunit ribosomal RNA", at positions 42 to 898 of the family's 1533-position model. Lineage: Bacteria; Pseudomonadati; Pseudomonadota; Gammaproteobacteria; Pseudomonadales; Pseudomonadaceae. The record is from RNAcentral.
GCACCCGUUAAAACUUGAAACAUGUAGCGGAAAGGGGAGCUUGCUCCUGGAUUCAGCGGCGGACGGGUGAGUAAUGCCUAGGAAUCUGCCUGGUAGUGGGGGAUAACGUCCGGAAACGGGCGCUAAUACCGCAUACGUCCUGAGGGAGAAAGUGGGGGAUCUUCGGACCUCACGCUAUCAGAUGAGCCUAGGUCGGAUUAGCUAGUUGGUGGGGUAAAGGCCUACCAAGGCGACGAUCCGUAACUGGUCUGAGAGGAUGAUCAGUCACACUGGAACUGAGACACGGUCCAGACUCCUACGGGAGGCAGCAGUGGGGAAUAUUGGACAAUGGGCGAAAGCCUGAUCCAGCCAUGCCGCGUGUGUGAAGAAGGUCUUCGGAUUGUAAAGCACUUUAAGUUGGGAGGAAGGGCAGUAAGUUAAUACCUUGCUGUUUUGACGUUACCAACAGAAUAAGCACCGGCUAACUUCGUGCCAGCAGCCGCGGUAAUACGAAGGGUGCAAGCGUUAAUCGGAAUUACUGGGCGUAAAGCGCGCGUAGGUGGUUCAGCAAGUUGGAUGUGAAAUCCCCGGGCUCAACCUGGGAACUGCAUCCAAAACUACUGAGCUAGAGUACGGUAGAGGGUGGUGGAAUUUCCUGUGUAGCGGUGAAAUGCGUAGAUAUAGGAAGGAAACACCAGUGGCGAAGGCGACCACCUGGACUGAUACUGACACUGAGGUGCGAAAGCGUGGGGAGCAAACAGGAUUAGAUACCCCUGGUAGUCCACGCCGUAAACGAUGUCCGACUAGCCGUUGGGAUCCUUGAGAUCUUAGUGGCCGCAGCUAACGCGAUAAGUCGACCGCCCUGGGGGAGUACGGCCCGCCAAGGUUAAA